This 396-nucleotide ribosomal RNA is filed under the name uncultured bacterium. Its description in RNAcentral is "partial 16S ribosomal RNA". It matches the Rfam family "Bacterial small subunit ribosomal RNA", at positions 523 to 918 of the family's 1533-position model. The record is from RNAcentral.
AUACGUAGGUGGCGAGCGUUGUCCGGAAUUAUUGGGCGUAAAGAGCAUGUAGGCGGCUUAAUAAGUCGAGCGUGAAAAUGCGGGGCUCAACCCCGUAUGGCGCUGGAAACUGUUAGGCUUGAGUGCAGGAGAGGCAAGGGGAAUUCCCAGUGUAGCGGGGAAAUGCGUAGAUAUUGGGAGGAACACCAGUGGCGAAGGCGCCUUUCUGGACUGUGUCUGACGCUGAGAUGCGAAAGCCAGGGUAGCGAACGGGAUUAGAUACCCCGGUAGUCCUGGCCGUAAACGAUGGGUACUAGGUGUAGGAGGUAUCGACCCCUUCUGUGCCGGAGUUAACGCAAUAAGUACCCCGCCUGGGGAGUACGGCCGCAAGGUUGAAACUCAAAUGAAUUGACGGGG